GAUGAACGCUAGCGGGAGGCCUAACACAUGCAAGCCGAGCGGUAUUGUUUCUUCGGAAAUGAGAGAGCGGCGUACGGGUGCGUAACACGUGUGCAACCUGCCUUUAUCUGGGGGAUAGUCUUUCGAAAGGAAGAUUAAUACUCCAUAAUAUAUUGAACGGCAUCGUUUAAUAUUGAAAGCUCCGGCGGAUAGAGAUGGGCACGCGCAAGAUUAGCUAGUUGGUGAGGUAACGACUCACCAAGGCGAUGAUCUUUAGGGGGCCUGAGAGGGUGAUCCCCCACACUGGUACUGAGACACGGACCAGACUCCUACGGGAGGCAGCAGUGAGGAAUAUUGGUCAAUGGGUGCAAGCCUGAACCAGCCAUCCCGCGUGAAGGACGACUGCCCUAUGGGUUGUAAACUUCUUUUGUAUAGGGAUAAACCUACCCUCGAGAGGGUAGCUGAAGGUACUAUACGAAUAAGCACCGGCUAACUCCGUG
RNAcentral lists this ribosomal RNA (479 nucleotides) under uncultured bacterium. RNAcentral's name for it is "partial 16S ribosomal RNA". It matches the Rfam family "Bacterial small subunit ribosomal RNA", at positions 28 to 507 of the family's 1533-position model. The record is from RNAcentral.